Non-coding RNA from Acyrthosiphon pisum (pea aphid), 46 nucleotides. NCBI's taxonomy places the organism in Eukaryota, Metazoa, Arthropoda, Insecta, Hemiptera, Aphididae. The record is from Rfam.
AAAAUGGUCCUUUUCAGGACCACCAAACAUAACAGUAUGGCAAUGU